Molecule: ribosomal RNA, 253 nt
Filed under: uncultured bacterium
Lineage: Bacteria
Description: partial 16S ribosomal RNA
Rfam family: Bacterial small subunit ribosomal RNA
Source: RNAcentral
UACGAGGGGGGCAAGUGUUGUUCGGAAUCACUGGGCGUAAAGGGAGCGUAGGCGGAUGCUUAAGUUGGAUGUUUAAAACCGGGGCCUAACCCCGGGGCGGCAUCCAAAACUGGGCAUCUUGAAUGGAACAGAGGCUAGUGGAAUUGGGGGUGUAGCGGUGGAAUGCGUAGAGAUCCCCAAGAACACCAAUUGCGAAGGCAGCUAGCUGGGUUCACAUUGACGCUGAGGCUCGAAAGCAUGGGGAGCAAACAGG